Molecule: long non-coding RNA, 789 nt
Organism: Cotesia glomerata
Lineage: Eukaryota; Metazoa; Arthropoda; Insecta; Hymenoptera; Braconidae
Exons: 3
Source: RefSeq, a predicted model, not a curated record
UCAAUUUUAAUAAUUUUUUUAACAUAUCAAUUACAAUAAAAAAAUGCUUCUAAAAAUUUUCACUUUUAACCCAUCAGCACUCACGUUAUGAGCAUUUUGCUCACACAACAACAUCGGACUUAUAGAGCGGCGCUGUAGUGCAAGUGAGAUACUAAAAUUCACCAAUGGACAGUCAAACUAUUUACAACCCUCUAAUGGAUCCGGAAUACCAAUGGCUAUUGCAUACAUGCAUUAAUGCAUUUAAUGUGUGUCUAACCAUGUUUCACAAGCCUUUGUUUGACCAUAUUACUAAUGCAAGAGUACAAAAUCGAUCUAUCGCAGAAAUAAUUUCUUACCCGAUUUUCAUGAUAACUUUGGACCUUCUGAUGUACGCAAGCCUGUAAUUUUAUUUACAUAAUUAAGACAGUAUCAAGAGGUAUUUAAAUAAAGUACAAAAUGGAGUGUUGUAAAAAAUAUUCAAAACUUAUAUUUGAAGACGCCUUAUUGGCAAGUGGAUGCCAAAUUUUACAAUACAUUUAUCGUCACAAUUUUACAAUAACUAUUAAAAGAACAGAAAAAAAUUAUAAAGCUCUGACGGUUUAUAUAUCACUCUUAAAAACAAUAUUUAUAUAAAUCUAUAUUUAUAAGUCAAUCAUUUUCUCAAAAAUAUAAUCAGACUCAUUUAUCUCAUGCACACAUAAACAUAAACAUAAAUACUCUGUUUUAUUUGUCUUGUCCUGUCAACUAUAAAAAAAUUUGUUUCAAUUGUCAGCUUAAGAUAAAAUUCAUUUCUAAAUUCAAAAGUCACUA